UCACAAAUACGCGCUUGUAUUUUUGUAUAAUGUUUCUUUCCCCUGGCUUGCCGGCAGAGUGUUUGUUGCAAAAGCUGUGGGUCCCAGCCACCCACUACCUGCCCCAACCUGGGUAGGUGAGCGGGGAGGGAUAGAGGGGGUCCAUGUCUGAACAUAUCUGAGGGGCUGUUACCUCUUCCCCCCGGCUGGGGAGUUGGUGGGGGUGUGAAGAGUAUCCGCAUUUGGAUGACAGCUCCGUACAAACUGCUCCCAUUGCCCAGCGGACUCCCCGUGAUAACCUGACUUGGAGCUCUGCAGCCUACUUCAGACACGGAUCUGCGAAUAUUGUUCGGCAAAUGGCAGCAAUGCAUUUUUCUCUUCGUGGGAAAUAUAAAUCUUAACUGUUUACAUGUCCGAUCCGAAAUGCAUCGUCGACUUCACUUUACACUGAUUUUAGAGAAGUUUUUUGGAUGUUUAAAAUUGCACUCUCUAUUUAAUAUUUGGCAACCAUGGACUCAGGACUACCAGUGCCAUACUGCAAAAUAACAAGAGGAGAUCAAUAUUUGGAGAUUACAGAUCUCUACCUGAGCACCAACCUCUGUCAUAACAUAAUUGUAAAAUAAUUGUUUUCCAGAAGACAGUGGUUCAAAUUCCAAUUAUUGUAAAAUUACAGUUUAAAAACAAAUCAUUUGUUCAACUCAUUAUAUGUUUCAAAUUUUGGAAAUGUAGUGAUUCUCUCAUUGCCUCUUUUGUAAGAUUAGAAAUUUGAUUGUGGUGAAAGACUAAAGCUUAGUGAAUGCAUUUUAAGGCAUUUGUACAGAAUGCUGCUUGGACUGAAUAGAUGCAUUUAAAGGAAAGCUAGUCAAGCAUUUGAGGAAUAAGGUGGUUAUGAUGGUAGUUUUAGAUUAAGAAUGAUGGAAGGAGGUUCAAGUGGGUCUGAAUGGCCUGUCUGUGCUGUAUAUUUGAUGUAAUCCUAUGUAAUAAUGAUGCUGCUCAAUUGCACCACUUAAGGUGUGCCAUUGGUGUAUUAUAAUUGAACCGCAGAGAGAGUGAGAGCUGCACACUGACUGAGGUGCAUUUGUCCAGUAUAUUAUCAAGCAAUGAGGACAGACAAGGGAUUGAUACUUGGCCUACUGAAUCCACACAGGAGACUCACUGAAGAAAAGACAACGUCUGUUGGAUUUGUGGGUUUUGCUUUGUGGGGUUGCUGACCCAGUGAAGUUUAGCACCUGUUGGUUGACAGUUGGUUAAUUAGAUUUUGUUACAUUUAUUGUAACAGUAAGAUACCAAGUGUACUCAGUGAAACAAUCUUUUGAUUCAUUUGAUACAAAGCACCUGGUGUAAGGGAGACGUCCUGUGUUUAUCACCAGGCCAUCUCUUCCAAUCUAUUGUACUAUAAAAUAGGUUCAGGAGGUGGGACAGAUGAAACUUUCAAAACAUAUUAAGUAAAAAUAAUAAAUAGUCAUCAUUCAAUAAA
This is a long non-coding RNA of Carcharodon carcharias (great white shark), 1456 nucleotides long. RefSeq lists it as uncharacterized. The transcript has 2 exons. The record is from RefSeq and is a predicted model, not a curated record. Lineage: Eukaryota; Metazoa; Chordata; Chondrichthyes; Lamniformes; Lamnidae.